CAGGAAAUGUGCCUGAACAAAGGGUUACUUUGAUAGAGUAAAUAUAGGGGUUCAAACCCCCUCAUCUCCUCACUAGAAAG
This 80-nucleotide transfer RNA is filed under the name Trachylepis tavaratra. RNAcentral describes it as "tRNA-Ile". The stretch from base 3 to 70 matches the Rfam family "tRNA". Rfam says of the family: Transfer RNA (tRNA) molecules are approximately 80 nucleotides in length. The record is from RNAcentral. Lineage: Eukaryota; Metazoa; Chordata; Lepidosauria; Squamata; Scincidae.